GGGUUGCUAACUCAACGGUAGAGACCGACUAGUUCCGGGUUCGAGUCCCGGGCAACCCA
RNAcentral lists this transfer RNA (59 nucleotides) under Lilium distichum (Manchurian turk's-cap lily). RNAcentral describes it as "tRNA-Lys". The record is from RNAcentral. Lineage: Eukaryota; Viridiplantae; Streptophyta; Magnoliopsida; Liliales; Liliaceae.